ACCUUAUCAAAAUCAUCUGUUGUGGCAACUUGAAGUUUUGGUGAUGAGGCAAAUUCGGAUGGUUCUGCAUGGCGCAGUUUUGCUUGUGACGGACGUGGUGGUGGUAAAAAAUCAUAAGCAGGGGUACAUGAUGACUUAAUGGCUGCUUCCAACUUUAAUCGAACACAUUCUACAAGUUCUGAUACGGACUCCUCAGUCUGUUUUGUCUCAAAGUAUUCCCAUUUGCUUAUUGUUUUGUAGUUAUGUUUUGCAAAUGAAAGUUUAAGCUCAUCCUUGUCAACUCCUAGUAAUACCAUCACAGAACCAUCAGCCUUUAUUGCUGCAAUAUUGUUAGUUUCCAAUAUACCCAGAAUGGCCGGUGUUGCCAGAACAACAUUGACUGCAUAAUUUGACUGUGUGUGAUCAGUUUCUAAACCUUCUACACUUGAUGAAAUUCCAACCGCAGCGAGUUUCACUUGCAAGAAGUCUGCCCAGUCUUUUCCAUCUGAGAACACACAAAAAAUUCCAACAUCUGAAAACUCCAUGGCUGAAUUUAAAUACCUAUUCAGAGUUAACGUUAUGAAAAUGAAAACACUUUACUAUAUGCUGUGCAUUUAGCGAGACGAGAAACGUACUUUUAAAUGUUGUUUCUAUCUAUUCACAAAACGGAGAAAAUAAAUAUCCAUAUACACGUGUUGGCUUUACCUAUCCACGAAACACGGAAGUAAUACCGUCUUCCCUGUUGAAAUGGAGCAUCAUUCUCCUACUACGUGUUAAAGGGAAAUUUCACUUUGUUUUAUGUCAGAUAUAUAUGUUACUAUGAUACCUGGUCAAAAGGUAACAUUUUUAUAUAUCUGAUAUAUAAAACACCUUUAAAUGGACAUUAAAUCUUCUUACAACGCGAAAUUUAGAUGUAAAAGCAUGUGCGCUCUUAUAAAUAAGGAAAUAUUAACUAAUCUUUUGAUACUAUUUCGUAUCAAAUCACCAGUAUUAAAGUCACCUAACAUUCCUUAAAUUUUAUAACAG
Molecule: long non-coding RNA, 1005 nt
Filed under: Mytilus galloprovincialis (Mediterranean mussel)
Lineage: Eukaryota; Metazoa; Mollusca; Bivalvia; Mytilida; Mytilidae
Source: RNAcentral